Molecule: ribosomal RNA, 253 nt
Filed under: uncultured bacterium
Lineage: Bacteria
Description: partial 16S ribosomal RNA
Rfam family: Bacterial small subunit ribosomal RNA
Source: RNAcentral
UACGAAGGGGGCUAGCGUUGUUCGGACUUACUGGGCGUAAAGCGCACGUAGGCGGAUCGAUCAGUCAGGGGUGAAAUCCCAGGGCUCAACCCUGGAACUGCCUUUGAUACUGUCGAUCUGGAGUAUGGAAGAGGUGAGUGGAAUUCCGAGUGUAGAGGUGAAAUUCGUAGAUAUUCGGAGGAACACCAGUGGCGAAGGCGGCUCACUGGUCCAUUACUGACGCUGAGGUGCGAAAGCGUGGGGAGCAAACAGG